AGCAGCCGCGGUAAUUCCAGCUCCAAUAGCGUAUAUUAAAGUUGUUGCAGUUAAAAAGCUCGUAGUUGAAUUUCGGGGUUAGUAGGUUGGUCAUGCCUCUGGUAUGUACUGGUCUCACUGAUUCCUCCUUCCUGAUGAACCUUAAUGCCAUUAAUUUGGUGUUUUGGGGAAUUUGGACUGUUACUUUGAAAAAUUAGAGUGUUUAAAGCAAGCUAACGCUUGAAUACAUUAGCAUGGAAUAAUGAAAUAGGACGUUCGAUCCUAUUUUGUUGGUUUCUAGGAUUGACGUAAUGAUUAAUAGGGAUAGUUGGGGGCAUUAGUAUUCAAUUGUCAGAGGUGAAAUUCUUGGAUUUAUUGAAGACUAACUACUGCGAAAAGCAUUUGCCAAGGAUGUUUUCAUUAAUCAAGAACGAAAGUUAGGGGAUCGAAGACGAUCAGAUACCGUCGUAGUCUUAACCAUAAACUAUGCCGACUAGGGAUCGGAUGAUGUUAAUUUUUAAUGA
Molecule: ribosomal RNA, 503 nt
Filed under: uncultured Glomus
Lineage: Eukaryota; Fungi; Glomeromycota; Glomeromycetes; Glomerales; Glomeraceae
Description: SSU rRNA
Rfam family: Eukaryotic small subunit ribosomal RNA
Source: RNAcentral